Non-coding RNA from Callithrix jacchus (white-tufted-ear marmoset), 15471 nucleotides. NCBI's taxonomy places the organism in Eukaryota, Metazoa, Chordata, Mammalia, Primates, Cebidae. The record is from RefSeq and is a predicted model, not a curated record.
CUCUUAGAAUAUGUUAUAUAUAUAUAUAAACAAAAAAUUAAAAAAAUUUGAAAAACAAAAACAAAAAAAUAAUAUAUAAUUACUAAGAAUAGUUUUAUGUGUUUAUAGGUUAAGAUGUGGAUAAUUAGUCUGUUAUGUUCUAGGGAAAUGAUAUUAUUAAGACUUCACAUAAUUGAAAAGAAUCACUGUUAUGACUUGCUUUAAUUGUUGGUAUUUAGUAGUUGCCAUUUAAAUAUCCUCCUUUAGUGGAAUCCUCAUUAUGCAUUUUAAGUAGGUUCAUUUGGAAUCAGGUGUUUUAAUUUUCAAUAGUCCUUCAUUGUUAAAGAUGUAAAGUAAAAUGCUUCUAGAUCAAGGUUUAAUGCCUUAUAGUGUUUUAAUAUAUAUUCAGCCUGGCUAAUGACAAAAACCCUUGAUUUCUCCUUAUUUUUAACCCCUUCACCCCCAAUUCUUGAUUUCUUUUAUGGAAAUAUAAUUCUGUUUUUUUUUGUGACAAUUUUAUUCUGGUCACUCAAAAUCUAUUAAGAUAUGGGGAACUAUGUAGACUGACUAUGAAAUGUUCCAUAGCCAUAUUUGAAAUACUUUGAAGGUGUUAGAAUUCAGGCAAGGGUUUGCAAUGCUUGCUUCCUCAUCUUUCCUCAACUUUUAUUUAAAAUAAUGGAAUUUACAUUAUAAUGCACCACUUCAUUUUCAGUAAUGGAAAUAAGGAGCUCUACUCUUAAAUAUUUUUUAUAUAGACUCUGCUGUCUUAAAAAAUGAAAAAAUAACUUAUUCUUAGCCAUAUCUAAGAGUAAUCAACAUUUUUCUUUAUGGUUUGUGACUUAGACUCAGACUGGUAGAGUUAUCUACCCAGAUCGAAAGAAGAUUAAAUGAUACAUCCAUUUCACACAAAAGUCAAUCAGACAUUUUAAAACAGUUUACCUCUGUAAAAAAAAAAAUGUAGUUUUGUAUGAUGCAUUUAACUACUACAUAAUUUUUACUGACAUUAAACAUUUGAAUGGUAGGAAAGAUGUGUAAUUUAUGAUGCCAUUGUGAGGUGAUUUGAGUGAUUUUUGUCUGUUCCAAAUAUAAAAUUUAACCUUUCCAGUGAAUGAACUUUAUUUUAGGGAGAAAAAUAAGAAGUAUAUGGACUUUCUUUUUUAAGACCUAGGGUCUUGCUCUGUUGCCCACUCUGGAUUACAGUGACAUAAUCGUAGUAUCUCCCUGUAACCUUCGACUUAUGGGCUCAAGUGAUCUUCCCUGUCUCACCCUCCCAAACAGAUAGGACUACAGGUGUGUGCCACCAUGCCUGGCUAUUUUCUGAACAAUUUUCUUUUUUAAGAGACAGGGUGUUGACAUGUUGCCCAGGCUGGUCUUGAACUCCUGUUUCAAAUAGUCCUUAUGCCUCGGUCUCUCAAAGUGGUGGAAUUAUAGGUGUGAGCCGCUGUGCUUGGCCUCGACUUUCUGAUUAGAUUUAUAUUCUAAGAAAAAAUAGUAAUGAUGUUUUACUUUUAUGCUGAACUUUAAUUUUUAAAUUAAGAUAUAACUUAAUUGUAGAAAAUACAGAUAUGCAGAAAGUCAGUUGCAGAGAAUCUCAUUAUUCAGAGACUUUUAGUUCUUUAAUUACAUUUACUACUACAAAUCAUUAAUAUAUUUAAUUUGAAAAACUUUAACUUGAGAUGAAAUGUGAACAUUAUUUCAAGUUUCAUGGGAUGCUUUAAACUCCAUUUGACAAGUGUCAAUUUUAUAUUAAUACAUAUAUUAAUAUAUACAUGUUAAUAUAGUUAAUACAUUUAUAGUAAUAUUUUUCUUUUCUAAAGAAUUAGCUUUAGUCCUGUUUCACUCAUUUUUACUGGGUGCCUGCUGUAUGCACAUGUCCCUUGAAUUUAACAUUUUCCUAUUUUUAUUUGGUUAAUUUAAAAAAAAUUUAUAAACUGUAUUUUUAGAGCAGUUGUUGGUUCCCAGAAAAAUUGAGCAAAAAGUAUAGAGCAUUCCCAUAUACCCCCUGUCUUCAUACAUGCACAACCUUCCCUACCAUCUAUAUCCUGGACCACCUUGCUGUCUUUUGAUAACUUCACUGAUUUCCCAAAAACACCUGCAUCAGAGGCUUUGUUUUUUUGUUUGUUUGUUUGUUCGAGUCAAGAGUCUUGCUCUGUUGCUCAGGCUGGAGUGUAGUGGUGCAAUCUUGACUCCCUGUAACCUCCACCUCCCAGAUUCAAGUGAUUCUUGUGCCUCAGCCUCCUGAGUAGCUGGCAUUAUAGGUGUGUACCACCACACCUGGUUAAUUUUUGUACUUUUAGUAGAGAUGAGGAUUCACCAUGUUGGCCAGGCUGGUCUCAAACUCCUGGCCUCAGGUGCUUCAGCUUCCCUCACUGUUGGGAUUACAGGCGUGAGCCACCGUGUCUGGCCUGCAUCAGUUUCUUUACCUGACUACUAAUGCGUGAAACUCCAAGGUAAACACAAAAUUCAUUUAACAAGACAUAUUUUACCUAGCAUUGCAGAUGUCAGCCAGUUCUGCUGAUCUUAGCUGUGAUUUUUCUACUCUAUAUUAAUCAGACCAGUAACUUUAUUAGUUAUCUGAAUGGAUAGUUCUGUAAACAUUUAAGAAAUUCCAGCCUGGGGCAAUGUGGUGAAACCCUGCCUCUACAGAUAAUACAAAAACUAGUUGGGUAUGGUGGCAUGUGCCUGUGGUCCUAGCUACUCAGGAGGCUGAGGUGGGAGAAUCACUUAAGCCCAGUUUGUUGAGGCAGUGAGCCCUGAUUGUGCCACUGUACUUCAGCCUGGGCAACAAAGUAAGACCUUUUCUCAAAAAAAAAAAAAGUUAAUAAAAAAAUACAUAAAGAAAAUUUGAAACCUUUCUCACUAGGAAUUGGUGUAUUUUAAGCCUAUUUUGUAUAUAUAAACACCUCUAUUACAAUAUUACUACUCUGUUUGUGUUAAAAUGGCUUCCAAACCUCUCUCUUGGAUGUGAUGGGUUUUCCUUUCAUAAUAAUUUUUGCUUUCAUCUAUUUAAUUGACUAUGACUUCAUAUGAGGGCAUGCUUCCAGUUUCUCACUUAGGUUGUAGGUCCAGAUAAUAAGUAAACUAAAGCAAGAUGGAGGGAUGAAGUUAUCAGUUAUUACUUAGUGGAAGAAGUAGCAUCUAUCAGGGUUUUAAAGAAUGUAUAGUAGCUUAAUAGUUACAGAAAGUGUUCCAGGCAAGCAUAAAGACAUGACCGAAAAGUACGGAGGAAAAGUGGUCGUUAAGUAUAGAUUUUCAUUUCUGGUAAUUAGGUAGACUAGGUCGUUUAGACUAACCCUUCUGAAAAUUACUAGAAAUUCUGGAUACAAUUUAAGAAAUAUUUUAAAAGUAUUGAAAAACUGAUAAUGUGGUAAGGUAAUAUGAAGCAAAUCUAAACAAAAGCAGAAAGUUAGGUAAAUGAAAGCCUCUUUUUUUGCCUGGUGAACUUGAGCUUUUGUUUUCAUGGUCUUGUAAAUAGAUAGAAUUUAGAAGAGGCUUUUUUUUUUCAUGGUCUUGUAAAUAGAUAGAAUAUAGAAGAGGCUUCCGUUCUUUACAAGAUGGGCCUCUUUAUAGGGCUACUUAUUAUUGAACUUCUAGAUUCCCUCAGAGUAAGUGAUCAAAUAAUAAUAAAGAACAAUUUACAAUAAUAAUAAAGAACAAAUACCAAAUGUAAAGCCAAGGGACUAACUGGAAUGAGAAGUCUAAUAAAAUUUCCCUUCUGAUUCCCAUAAUUUACACCUUUGGCAUAAGGAUCAACUGGAAGCAAACCUGCUUCACUCUCCUACCUCCGCUAGGACUGCAGGGAAAAGUGCCAUGAGUGAGAACCAACAGAAGUAGACAUUAAGUAUAGAUCUAGAAAGACUUUAUGUAUUGAUAUUAGAAAGCAGAGAUUAUAAAAUAAAUAUACUGGGUGCCAUGGUUUACACCUAUAGUCCCAGGACUUUGGGAGACUGAGAUGAAAGGAUUGCUUGAGCCCAGGAGUUCAAAACCAGCCUGCGCAAUAUAGGAAGACCCUGUCUCUACAAAAAAAUUCAAAAAUUAGCCAGGCAUGGUGAUACGUAACUGUAGUCACAGUCACUUGAAAGACUUAAGAUGUAAGGAUCACUCGAGCCUAGUAGGGAAGCUGCAGUGAGCUGUUAUUGCUAUUUCAAAAAAAAAGUUGAAUAGAUUCUAUGUAUUAUGGAAUUUGAAAACAUUGAUUACAAGAUAUACCAUUACUUUAUGUAACAUUUAGAGAAAUGCUGGCAGUUAAACUGCAGGUUGAUAACUUAUUUCCUGAUGUAGGAAUUGACUAUACCAGGUUCUUAUUGUUUUGAAAUUUCUCUCAUCUUUUCCUAGUGAUUUGGCAGAUUCUCUUGUCUUCUUUUGCAUUGUUUGGCUUAUGAUAGAUAAUGUUUUCACACAUGUAUUUCCGUUUCAUCUAUUUGAGAGUAUCUCUCAUUUUCAAGUUUAUAAAAUACUAAGCCGUUUGCCAGAAAACAUACAAUUGUGAUUGUUUCUAUAGUAAUGAAUAUUUGCUUUGUUGAUGUCAGAUUUUACCCUGUUGCUCUGUUUUCAUGCCUUUGUACACAAUACUUUCGUUUUAUUGCCUAAUGAUAGCAUAAUUUUUUGAAGACAUUUUGAAUGAUAGUUAAACUUAUGUGUAGUAAUAACUAUACAUGUUAAUCUAGUGAAGGAACAUCAAUACGAAAUCUACCAGGUUUGCACAUGAACAGGCAAGAACAAAUGUUAGCUGCCUCUGUAAGGGCAAUUUUGAGAUGCAUUUUAAUUUCAAAGAUGUCAAAAUGUUAAGAAUCUUAGAAUCAUAGAAAUAUGGAAAAAGUGACCUCACAGUUUUGAAAGAGAAAUAGACUUGUCUUAAAGUGGGGAAAAAUUAGAAUUAAAAAAAAUUGAAUGGUAAAAGUACAUUUUAAAACUUGGCAGCUACAGAAUUAGGAAAAUGUAAGUACAUAUGUUAGAAAUAAAAAAGACUAAAACUUAAUGAACUAGUCAUUUGUGGUAGCCAGCCUUCAAGAUCCCACCUCCUGGUAUUUGCACUCUUGUGUGUUGUCCCCUCCCACAUUGUACUACAGGUUGAUCUGUGUAGUCAGUAGAAUUUGUCACAAGUGAUAAUAUGCCAUUUCUGUAAUUAGGCUGUGAAAGACACUAUUGUUUUACCUCAGUUGUUCCUUAUUAUUAUUAUUUUUUGAUCACUUACUCUGGGGGAAUCCAUAAAUUCAAUAAUGAGUAACCCUAUGGAGAGGCCCAUCUUGUGAAGAAUGGAAGGCUCUUGCCAACCACCAUGUGAGUGAGCUUUUAAGUGGUUCCUCCAGCCCAGUCAAGCUUUGAUAUGACUGUGUUCUUAGUAGGCAUGUUCAUUACAAGCUCAUGAGAAAUGCUGAGCCAGAGCCACCAACCUGAGCCACUCUUGAAUUCUGACCCUAAGAAACAGUGAGAUAAAUGUUUGUUGUUUUAAGCCGCUAAAAUUUAGGGUAACGUGUUAUGCAGGAAUAGAUAACUAUUGCAUCAUCCGUUUAAGAGGAUAAGAACAAAAACCCAAAGAAAGAGUGAAAAAAAUAGUGGCCUUUGUUAUUUAUUUAUUUAUUUGAAACACAGUCUCACUCUGUUGCCCAGGCUGGAGUGCAGUGGCACCAUCUUGGCUCACUGCAACCUCCACCUCCUGGGCUCAAGCGAUUCUCCUGCCUCAGCUUCCUGAGUAGCUGGGACUACAGGUGUGCACCACCACACCCAGCUAAUUUUUGUAUUUUUGGUAGAGACAAGGUUUCAUUAUGUUGGCCAGGCUGGUCUUGAACUAGUGAUCUCAGAUGAUCCACCCACCUUGGCCUCCCAAAGUACUGGGAUUACAGGUGUGAGCCACCACGCCCAGCUGGAAAUUGUAGCUUUUUAAAUGUGAAAAUUCCCAAGUUUAUUGUAUGUAUUUUCAGUUGUUGUGGGAGAUAUACAUAUAUCAGAAAGUUGGCAUGUAUUAAGAAAUAGGUUUAUGUUUAACAGGCCACUAUCCAUUAUAUAACAUCAAGGGAUGAGUAGCAUAAACACAGUCUGUAUCGGGUUAUACUUUUAAUUGAGAAUCUGGAAGUGGGAUUGAGAAUAAUAAAUAGCUCUUUCUUCUGCAAAUCUUUCUAGUAGUAACGGUGUUAGUAUGAGGAAAUUGUCAGGUUUUUGCAGAAAUUACUCGUAAUGAAAUACCAGAUUAGUAGUUUCUAAUGUCACAAAAAAGAGAUAACCAGAUGUAUUAGGUACCUUAUAAAAUAAAUAUGUAACACAUAUGUGACAAUUUUUUUUUAGCCAAAAAAAUUGAUUCUGAAUUUAAUUAAGCCUCUAGAUUUAACUGCUAGUUUAUAGGAAAUACUGAGGUCCAAGGAAUAAAUGACAAAAGGAUAUGCAACCAACAAAACCCCUUAAUGUGACAAAUUUUACAUCACAAAUGACCCCAUGUCUUUAACAGAUGGUGGUGGUGGUGAUGAUGGUGGAGGAGAGAUGUAGUGGAAACCUAUAGGUUUAAAAAGACUUAAAAGAUAUAUCAACCAGUUGUAAUAUAUAGACUUUAUUUGGGUUCAGAUCUGAUCAAACUGAUGAAAAAGAAAGGCACUUCUGAGUGAGUCUGGAAAAUUUGAACACUGACUGAUGUUAAAAAAUCUGCUAAUUUAGGCCGGGCACGGUGGCUCAAGCCUGUAAUCCCAGUACUUUGGGAGGCCAAGGCGGGUGGAUCACGAGGUCAAGAGAUCGAGACCAUCCUGGUCAACAUGGUGAAACCUCGUCUCUACUAAAAAUACAAAAAAUUAGCUGGGCAUGGUAGUGUGUGCCUGUAAUCCCAGCUACUCGGGAGGCUGAGGCAGAAGAAUUGCCUGAACCCAGGAGGUGGAGGUUGCGGUGAGCCGAGAUCGCGCCAUUGCACUCUAGCCUGGGUAACAAGAGCGAAACUCCGUCUCAAAAAAGAAAAAAAAAAAAUCUGCUAAUUUAUUUUAAAUGUGAUUUGAUAGUUAUAUUUUAAAAAGAUAAUUUUAGGUGAAAGAAGAUUGGUCAUGAUUUGACAAUUGUUGAAGUCAGGUCAUCCCAUUCUCUACUUUUAUGUAUGUUUGAAAUUUUAUUUAAUGAAAUGUGUUUUAGAAAGAGUAGAAAUUAAUUAAAUAAUAUAUAUAAUGGAAAGGAUCAACCAAAUAAAAAGUUGGUUCUCUGAUAAGGCUAAUGAACUUGAGUCAGGAAGAAAAGGCAUGUGGUUAUAGGUAUAUGUUUCAUACCAUAGGCACCCUUUUCAGUCUCCUUCACAAGGUACAUUUCAUUUUAAUAACAAUAUUUUGGCUUGUUUAACUAAUUUCAUUGAGCACUAACUAGAGUGUAGUAGUAUAAUCACAGCUCACUGUAGCCUUCACCUUUGGGCUUAAGUGAUCCUCCACCUUCCUCCUGAGUAGCUGAGACCACAUGUGUAUGCCACCAUACCUCACUAAUUAAACAAAUUGUUUUGUGUGUUUGAGAUGGGAUUUCACUAUGUUGUCUAGGCUCAAAUGAUCUGCCCACUUGCCUCAGUUUCCCAGAAUGUUGGGAUUACAGACAUGGGCCCAAUCUCCACCUCCACUUUUUAAAAAACUUUUUCAGUCUUACCUGUUAUCAUCGAAGUGAACAAUGUUCGGAUGGAUACUUGGUUAGGAAAUGCUGACUUCUCCAGUCUGAUAAUCCUGGAUUUUGAUUAUCCCACUACUUCCUAUAAUUUCCACACUGGAAUGAUACCAAAUGUUGUACAUCUUUGAACAUAUCUUGCUGUUUUCUCUCUGUCUGGAUUUCUUCCCCCAACCUUUGCUGAGAGUAUCUGUUUAUGAUUCUUUGAAAACUUUUUUGAGCUCUUGACACUACACAUUACCCCCACCGUUGACAGAAUCAAUAAUUCCCUUCUUUAUGUUAUUUCAGUAUUUUUCACAACUAUGUUACUUCAUAGGUUAUUUUGCAUUUAUUUGUUUAUACCUCUUUUCUCUUGAACAAUAAGCACUUUGAGAACAAGACUGUGUUUCCUUUGUCUUUAUAUUCAUUAUCUAGCAUGGUCCCUAGUUCAUACAUGGUUGGUCUGUAUUUAUUAAACGUUUUUUAUGGUUGCUAGGAUGUAUCAGAAAAACUUAAGGGCUGACUUGCAAGACUAGUCACCAUUAUAAUGUUUCUGUGGGGGGAAUUUAUCUUGUGGUAGGAUGUUAGAAAAUAUAAAUAUAACUGAUUUAAAUGAACUUUUAAAAUUCAAUUCAUAUGUAAGUUGAGAACUGUCCAAUGUAUGAUUGAAAUAUGUAUAUACAUUUAAAAUUUGCUAGUUUUGCCUAGAGGAAAUAAAGCAUUCCCCCUAUUCUUAGCUGUAACCCUGUCUCUGAAGAAGUAGGGGAAAUUGCUUAGAUCAUUUAAUUCCAUUAUCCUCUUCUAAAGCCUCCCAAAAGGUGGGUGGGUGUUAAUGAGAAGCUAAACACCUGCUGUGCUUUAAUAUAGUUUAGGUAAUUACAUGUGGCUAGUGCCGCCAAUAUUAGACGGCACAGCUCUAAGUGUUCAGACUUCAUUCUUUGGUAAUGGGGAGCCACUGAAAAUAUUUGGGCAGGACAGAGGAGAUGAUUGGAUUUAAGUUUAACACAUCUCAUUAGUAGCUGUGUAUAGGUGGGAGAAAUUGUAGGGAGCUACGUAACAUUCCAGAGAUUAUUUGUCUUAAUCAGUGGCAGAUGGGAUGAUUGGAUAUUUGAGUACAGAAUCAAUAAACUUGAUUUUUGUAAUUAUUUUGCUUGUUAUAUUGGAUCAUGACCAACUUGUUGGUGAGGUCUGUAUUAUAACAAUUGUAACCAACAUGUUUUGAGCAUUUGUAAAUGUCAGGCACUACUGAGUGCCUUUGUGCAUUAUCUCAUUUAGUGCUCUCAACAACCCUGUGAGGUAGGAAGUAUUAUCUUCAUUUUACAGACAAAGAACAGCUCAGAGAGGUGAAGUAACUUACUGAAAGUCACACAGAUAGUAAAUGCAAAGAGGUUUGAGAAGAAAAGAAUAAGAUUUAAAAUCAGGUGGCAGAGGGGAUCAUAUAUAGCACAUAACAUUACUGUUGUGUGGGAGUUUCCUGAUUUGGGCACAUAGUAGGUUAUGAAAAUAGUAUUUAUUGUUACUUAUUGAGCAUAUACUAUGUGCUAGGCAUUCUAAGCCCUUGACAUGUGUUAGAUUAUUUAAUUUUCACAACUGUCCUGUGAGACAUCAUUAUGUUCAUUUUUAUAGAGGAAGAAAGUGAUGUGCAAACAUAGGCUGACUUGUUCAAGAAAGUUACAGAGCAGGGAUUAGAGUCCAAAUAAUUUGGCUGCAGCACUCCCGCACUACUUAAUACAUUUGUGUGUUAUGUUAAUAAAUAAAUACUGUACAAUUGGAGAGAUAGGCCAGACUGUGGUGUUUCAAUAAAGCAAACUUGUCUUAACUGUGAAAGUGACUCAGCUUGAGAUUUAAUUAAAAUUGUUUCUGUGUGUUUGUAUCUUUCUUUUUAUGACCUUUGGCAGUGAAAUGAAGGGUUUUUAUAGGAUGUAUAAAAUGUGGCUUUUUUUUUGUGUUAAAUACUUUAUGACCUUGAGUUUACUGGUCCUGACUAAGUUCCCCUUUCCUCUUUUGCCCACUAAAGCUUAAUUCUAUUUAUGCACACAGUUAAAGCCAUCGUAGUGUAGUGGAAAGAACACGUAUUGGAUUCUUACAUUUUAAUUCCAGCGUUAUCCAUUACUAGCUGUGUGACUGGGGAAAUUAUACAUCUUUAGAACUUCCCUUUUAAUUAUUUUCUCUUUUUUUUUUUUGAGAUGGAGUAGCUGGGAUUACAGGUAUACACCACCAUGCCUGGCCAAUUUUUUGUAUUUUUAGUAGAGUCAGGGUUUCACUAUGUUGGCGAGGCUGGUCUCAAACUCCUGACCUCGUGAUUCGCCCGCCUUGGCCUCCCAAAGUGCUGGGAUUACAGGUGUGAGCCACCAUGCCUGGCAGAACUUCCCUUUUCUAACCUGUAAAAUGGGGAAAAUUAAAUCUUCAUUUGAUAGUUGUAAGGAGUAAAGGGGAUGAUUUUUUAAAUGCCUGCUCUACUACUUUGUGUAUGGCAGAUGUUCAAAAUAUUGUAAGUGCUUUAUUUCUUAAUAAAUGAAACAUCUCCAAAUAUAAGUACCUUUUUUUCCUUAGAGUUGUUUAAUUUUGUAGUUGAACUCUGUGCUUGCCAAACACUUGGUAGCCAGACAUUUAGAAUUUGAACCAGAUACUAUAGAGUUUCUAAAUAAAAUAUGCAUUAGAAGAGAAAUGCAUUAAUUCUUUAUGGUGUUGUGUGACUGUUUUGUGUCUUUUACCAAGAGGUAAUUCUCUGCUAUAUUAGAGAGGAACAAUGAUAAGGAACACUUUAGCUACUUGUAUUUCUGGAGUUCUAUACUGCAUGGAUAAAUGAAUGAAUAAAUGAAUGACAUUCUAGUUGGACAUGUAAAAAGCAAGUAGUGAAACUCUUGAGAAAGUUUCUCACAAAAGGUAGCUAUUUUUCUAAAGUAUUUUCAUCUGAUUUCUCAGUAAUGAUGUAGAGAGAGGUAGUUUACAAGCUGAUCUUAGAAACGUAUAUUAAUAGAAAAAGCAAAUACACAAAAGGUCAGUAGUCUCUGCAUAUUCUGGGAACAUUCUUUUAGAUUUUGAUUUGUAGUGUAAUGCUUUUAUUUCAGAAAAUUAGUUGUUUGAAUUCCCUUUAAUCAAGAGCAGUGCUAAAGCAAUGAUAUUUAAUGACUAUGUAACUGAGACUCCUAAAUCACAUGUUGAAAUCUGACUGACAUGAAGAAAUAUUGAGGGGGCAAAGGAAAAGAAUCGGACAUCAAUUUUUGAGAUACAGUUAAUAUAUUUAAAAAUUUCCAGGGCUCAUAGUUGUUUUUUUUUUUGAGACAAAGUCUUGCUUUGUCACCAGGCUGGAGUUCAGUGGUGCGAUCUAGGCUCACUGCAACCUCUGCCUCCUGGGUUCAAGUGAUUCUCCUGUCUCAGACUUCUGAGAAGCUGGGACUACAGGGUGUGUGCCACUAUGCCCAGGUUUUUUUUUUUUUUUUCUAUAUUUUUAGUAGCGAUGGGAUUUCACCAUGUUGGCCAGGAUAGUCUCGAUCUCCUGACCUUGUGCUCUGCCCGUCUUGGCCUCCCAAAGUGCUAGGAUUACAGGUGUGAGCCACUGCACCCAGCUAGUUUUUUUUUUCUCUCAGCUUUACUGAAAUGUCACAAAGCUUUAAAAUCCACAGAUUUUCAGUGUCAAAUGUGAUGAAUUUUGAUACACACAAACAUUUGUGUAAACAUUAUUUUAGUCAAGAAAUGGAAAAUUUCCAUCACCUAGGAAAAUUCCCUCUGUGCCCUUUGCAGUUAGUCCUCCCCAGAGGCAGCCAUGUGGUCUAAUUUCUGUUACCAUAGGCUGCUCUAGAACUGCAUAUAAGUGAAAUCAGGCUAGUUGAGGUGCUUCACACCUAUAAUUACAGCACUUUGGGAGGCCAAGGUAGGAGGAUCACUUGAGGCCAGGAGUUUGAGACCAUAACAAGAUCCCAUCUCUAAAAAAAAUUCAAAAAGUAACCAUGCAUGGUGUUUUGGGCCUGUAAUCCUAGCUACUUGGAAGGCUGAGGCAGGAGGAUUCCUUGAGCUCAGGAGUUUGAGGUUGUAGUGAACCGUGAUUGUGCCACUGUACUUUGGCCUGGGUGACAGAGUGAGAACCUGUCUAAUAAAUAAAUAAAUACAUAAAUAAUUACAUGAAUAAAUAAAAUAGGUGGUAUGUGCUUUGAUGCCUGACAUCUUUUGUUCAAUAGAUUUUUGAAAAAAUUUUUUUGUCAUUGUGAGUAUCAAUAGUUCAUUUUUAUUCCUGGAAUUGUAUUCCAUUACCACAAUUUGUUUAUCUGUUAACUUGACAGAAUUUUUGUUUUCAGCUUUGGGCUAUUAUAAACAAAAUUUCUAUAAACAUUUUUGUACAGGCGUUUUUGUGGAUAUUUGUAUUCAUUUAUCUGGGGGAGGAAUGGCUGGGCUGUUUGGUAUGUGUAUAUUUAAACAUUUCUAAGUGGUAAUCUUAUUUCAUACUGCCACAAGUAAUAUAUGAGAGUUAGAAUUACUGUACGUCUUCACUAAUGUGAUAUAGUUAGUCUUUUUACUUUUAGCUGUUCUAGUGGGUAUCUUACUUGGUUUUAAUUUGCAUUUCUCUGGUUAACUAAUGAUAUUAGUCACAGAUUAGGAUGCUAUUUGGACAUUUGUAUAUUCCCUUUCGUGAAGUGUCUAAACCUUUUGCCCAUUUUUUUUUGUUUUUUGAGACGAAGUCUUACUCUGUCUGGCGUGAAGUCGAGCCAUCUCAGCUCAGUGCAACCUCUGUCCCCCAGGUUCAAGAUAUUCUUCUGCCUCAGCCUCCCGAGUAGCUGGGACUACAGGCAUGCGCCACCAUGCCCAGCUAAUUUUUGUAUUUUUAGUAGAAACAGGGUUUCGCCAUGUUGGCCAGGAUGGUCUUGAUCUCUUGACCUCAUGAUCCACCCUCUUUGCCUCCCAAAGUGCCAGGAUUACAGGUGUGAGCCACCUUGCCCGGCCCCUUGUGCUCAUUUUCAAAUUGAGUUGUCUUUUUGUUAUUGAUUUUAGGAGAUCUUUAUGUUCUUCAUACGAGUCUUUGAGAGUAUUUUCAGCCAGUAUGGUUUGUCUUUCCGCUUUUUUUUCUUUAGAGUCUCACUCUGUCACCAAAAUAUAGGUUUCAUAAGUGCAGAGAUUUUCAUCUUUUUCUUUACUAAUGGCAUGUGUCACUCAGUGGCACGAUCACAGCUCACUGCAGUCUCAAUUUCCUGUGCUCAACAAUUCCUCCCACCUCAACCUCCUGAGUAGCUGGGACUACAUGCUUGCUCAACCAGGCACAGCUAAUUUUUUUCUAUUUUUUGUAGAGAUGGAGUCUCACUAUGUUGCUUAAGCUGGUCUCAAAUUCCAGGGCUCAAGCAAUUCUCUCACCUCAGCUUCCCAAGGUGUGGAGAUUACAGAUGUGAGCCACUGCACCCAGCCUUCAUUUUCUUAAUAGUGUCUUUUGAUGAGUAGAAGUUUUAAAUUUUGAUGAACACAUUAUUUUUUAUUCUUUUUAGGUUUAUGAUUUUUUUGUGUCCUAGCUAAGAAACCUCUGUUUAUCUCCAGGUAGCAAAAUUUUUCAGUAUUUUCUUUUCUUUUUGAGACAGGGUCUCGCUCUGUCACUCAGACUGGAGUGCAGUAGUGUGAUCUUGGCUCACUGGAACCUCCGACUCCCGGGUUCAAUCAAUUCUCAUGCCUCAACCUCCUGAGUUGCUGGAACAACAGGUGUGCACCACCACACCCGGCUAAUUUUUGUACUUUUAGUAAUGAUAAGGUUUUACCAUGUCGGCCAGGCUGGUCUCAAACCCCUGACCUAGGUGUUCUGCCCAGUUUGGCCUCCCAAAGUGCUAGGAUUACAGGUGUGAGCACUGUGCCCAACAUGUUUUCUUCUAGAAAAUUUUGGUUUCAGUUUUUAUGUUUACUUUAAUGAUUUAUUUCCAAUUUGAUUUCAUUUAUGCAUUUUACACUUAAUUAAUGGAACAAAUAUUUACUGAGCACAGCCUCAGUACCAGCCACUAUUAAAGGUACUGGUGUUCAUUAGUAAACAAAAAAAAUGAAACUCUCUGCACUUGUGAAAUCUAUAUUCUGGGGAAGUGACAAAUAGUAAACUAAUAAGUAAAUUAUAGAGCAUGAUGAAAGGUGAUAAAGGACCAUGGUUGGGGGAACAUGAUAGGGUAAGGUAAAGGGGUGGUGAGGUUUCUGGUUUUAAGGAAGAUGGUAAAAAUAGGCCUUACUGAGAAAAUGUCAUUUAAAAAAUGACUUGGGCUAGGGUUGUGCCUGAUCAGUAGCUGCAGUACUAGAAAGAUGGAACAAGAGCAAAGAAAAAUCCCUUUGGUUCCAGAAAAUCUCUUGAGAAAGAGAAAGGCUUAUCAAGCCCUCAAAGCCACUCAGGCAAAACAGGCACUUUUGUCAGAGAGGGAGCAGAGGUAAGGAAAAGGGCUCAGGUUUAAGCAACUGGAAUCAUUCCUACAUGAUUGCCGGAGGCAGAAACAUGACAAGGUGCAUCUCAGAUGACUAAAAGUGAGAACUCAUGCCUUGAAAUUGCCAGAUAAACAUUCGUUGGUCUUUGUUGGAAGGAUUAAUGGUAUGAGUUUACCGGUGGAGAGAACCAUUGCAAGACUUCACCUGAAGAAAAUUUUUAGUGGUGUCUUUGUAAAAGUCAAUCCCCAGAACCUAAAAAUGCUGCUUAUAGUGGAACUUUACGUGACCUGGGGAUUUCCACAUCUGAAGUCUGUGAACUAACUUUGAAAUGUGGACAAGCCAAGUUCAAGAAUAAAACCGUCCCUCUGACAGACAACACAGUGACUGAGGAGAACCUGGAGAAGUUUGGUGUCACUUGCUUGGAAGACCUCAUUCAUGAAAUUGUCUUCCCAGGGAAGUAUUUCCAGGAGAUUUCAUGGUUCUUGCACCCUUUUCACCUUUUAGUGGCCUGUCUUGCUCAGGCUGGAGUGCAGUAGCAUGAUCUUCCCUCACUGCCACCUCUACUACAUACCAAAAAUAUAGUGGGCUUCCUCAAGAAGAUUGGCUCACCUGGCUCUGUGGUGAAUGCAUCAAUCAGCUCAUCCACCAACUGAACAAGACCCAGAAUAUCUGAAAGCACAGUGCAGUGGAAGCAUGUGUUUUUGUUUUUUGGGGAAUUUUUAUCAAGUAUCUUCAGAGAAGAUUAUUCCCUGUUUUAUUUUCAAAAACUGGAAAGGAACGGUCAAAGAGAAGACAGUAGUUUACAUUCAUGGGAAGCACCGCUCAUCACAGUCCAGUUCCCAGGAAAAUUUCAGUGUUUUCUACCUUGGCUGUCAUCUCAUCAGAAAUAAGCACAUGCCAUGGAAGAAGGAGUCCUACUUUGUUGUAUCUUCUAUCCUAGGGUUUAAUCUUGGUAAAUGAGUAACUCAAGCAUUUGUACAAGGCUCUCUAGGACUCCCGCAACAAUGGACCAAGUGCAGGGACGUAAUGGAGAUUCCUGGGGUCUUGUUUUGAAAAGACUUGAAAUAUACAUAAGAAGAAAGGCACACAAAUGAAUAUCCAGUUAUCCAAAAAAAAGAGAGAGAAAAAAAAGAAAAAGACUUGAAGAAGAUUUAGGGAUUAGCCAUUCAGAUAUCUGGGAGGAGAGUGUUCUGGGUAGACAAAACAGCCAGUGCAAAGGCCUUAGGAUGGGAGCUUGUCUGUCAUAUCCCAGGAAACAGCCAGAAAGCCAGUAUAGUACAGGGUAAAUGUGGACAAGGUUACAAUGAUAUAGGAGAGCAAAUUGUUUAAACUCUUAUAGGACAUUGUUAAGAUUUUAGCUCUUUGAGUGACAUGAGAAGUCAUUUGAGAGUUCCAUAUACUUAAUACACAUUUUAAAACAGCACAUAUGUACUCCUGAAUUCACUUAGAGAUUUCAUAGUAUUGCUUCUUUAGGUAUCUGUUUAAUAGGUGUGGAAGCAUUUUUUUUUCCUGAUAGGUAUACUUAAU